Molecule: non-coding RNA, 891 nt
Organism: Paramuricea clavata
Lineage: Eukaryota; Metazoa; Cnidaria; Anthozoa; Malacalcyonacea; Plexauridae
Source: the annotation of a GenBank genome assembly
UUUUUGUAUUGAAUUGUAUGGCGAAAUGCCGAAUUUUCGCAAUAAAACAGCGAUUUUAAAAACAUCUACCGUCCGAUCUUUAUUUUGAGGACAAAAUUUGAAAGAACAUGUCAAGCUGCGUCUGUUAAACGGAAAAUUAUUACACGAAUAUGUUUAAAACGAACGAAAAUUUGGAUAAACGACCUCCGAAGGAGUGAGAUCUUAUACUGUCAACAAGUCAGGUGAGAUUCUUUUCAUUUCUUGAUCAUUUUUCGAUAGUGUUUUGUGAAAUUUCGUACCUUAGACAACAGAUGCAUAUAGGACUAUUGCUAACUGACACUAAAAACAUGUUUGGGAUGCGUACAACCAGAGUUUUUAUUUACUGUACAGAUUACAAACAAUAUACUAAUACAAACAAUAUUCAAAUAUAUAGAAAUAUUAUUUUGUUAGGCUAGUACCAAAAUGUUUCCUUAUACACAAAGAUAGUAAAAGCAUUUAGACCUGAAAUAUAUCUUUGAGACCAAACACUAUACUGUUAACUGAAAUAUUGGGGAUUUGAAUUUAUUGAAUUAAUGAGUUAGGUACCAAUAUAAACACAUUCCGAUGCUUAAAUAAAUAACAAUAUCAGUUGUCCAGGUAGUGUACUAAACCAAUGACUUGCAUUUAUAGUCAGUAAGCAUUAUUUUGUAUAUAGACAUUAUUUGUUUGACCAUUGACGGUCCCUCCUUAUAAUAAAUACAACCACACACUGGUUGUCUCUGUGUGUGCAGCUGUGUUUCAUCCAAUUGUAUGUCUGUAAAAUACACCCAAUAAAUAAUCAAAUUAUUCUCUUUUUAGUUGAAUGAUAGACUUUCCAUGUUAAAAGAACUACAAAUCUGCUCUUUGACUAUCUGGGUAAAAGGCAAUGACAAU